CUCUCCCCCUUCCUUCUCUCUCUCUCCUCUUUCUACCUCUUUAAGAUGCCACAAACAGACCAUCGUCCUCCUCUCCAUCUCCGGGUCCGGGGUUCUCCCCCUUGAAACAAGCCGAGUCCUGUGGGAGGAGAGGAACCCUGGAACAGGAGCAUCGGAGAAAAAAUAUCGAGAAAGAAAUCAGCUGGAAGAGAAGGAGAGGAGAAAGAGGGGAGCUUUUUGCUUUGAGGGGAAUGUUGUCUGGCUCGAGGUGCAUGCAGAAACCUUUGAUCAGGUUAAUUUGAUCUGUAGAUCGAUAUUGAUCUCGGACCAGGCUUCAUUCCCCUCAAGUAAAGCUCCUAUAUUUGUGCGUCGUCGAUCUCUCCGCGGUUCGUGGAUCGCAUCGAUUUGUUUACAUCUGAGGCGCGCAAGCAAAACUGUCAAGAACUCGUGAUUUCAGAUAAGAUUCGAUGUGUUUUUGUUCAAGCAUGGAAGAAGUUCAUGGAGAAACUAACAUUAUACGAAAUCACCAUUGUCUACUAUUUGUGCAGAUUUGUUCUUUUAGAAGGAAACAAUGUUAUAAAGCAUUACAGGUAAUAUCAUAAAUACCUUCCAUGAUCUAGUUGUUCAUUUGUUUGGGUAGUUGUCUUCUCCCUUUUGUUUCUUCGUCCAUUAAUACAGGACACAUGCGACUGAUCAUCCUGUCCAAGUAGACAGCUGUAAGUUUGUCAAAAAAAUUUGUCUCCUUGCAUGUGCUAUUCCAACCAAGUUCUGCAACAUUCUAUGAAUGUAUACCACCAGCGAUUGGAGGCAAAAAGGGACCAAAUGUUAAUGCUGCUUUCUGAAUAGCUACUUAGCUAGUAGUGAAACAACCUGUGAAUUCUCAAUAUAACAAAAAGUAAUUUAUAUUCUUUACUAGCUGCUAGGAGGGGAGUAUAUAUAUAAUCAUGCAUGCAUGUGCUGAUGAGCAUUGAGCUAAGCACUAAACAUGAACAUAAUCCUUACAAUGCACCAAUGUAGAAAUUAGGAUUCUGAGCUAGCUGUCAUACAUGUAAUGUAAUCUCUAUCCUUUUUUUCUAGUACAUGUAGGAGUAGUACACUAGUAAGUAGUAGUAGGCUGUGCUAGCUGGGAGUGCUCUUUCACAGGUCUUGUGUUUGUUUCGGGGCUGGGGUAGAACCAAUUCAUGUGCAAGAUGGCAGGUAAUGGCGUACAUUUCUUUUGGAAGAGGAGACAAGCAAUGGCGUGGUUUUAUAUGCAUAUAACAAAUUAAAUGUCACAGGUUUACUGUUCACGAUUAUGUCUGAAUAUGCAGAAGUGCAUGAGUUCAUGCCUGUAAGAUUUGUCUCGUAAUGACCUAUUUAGCUGUCUUAGAAAACAACGAACUACAAGAUCGAUGAAGGUACGUACGUAUCGCGUAUGUUUACACUGCAUAUUGUUAACAAGUUGAUCAAGUGCACCUAUAUGUUGUGAACUUGAAUAGCAAAACGGAGAAAAUGUUCCUAGCAGUACAAAGUAAAGACUUCAAAGAUAUUGACUUUGAAUAGUUAGUUAACCGUGGUAAUAUAUGUUAUAUGUGUACAGUUAGUUUCUUAUAUAUGGAACAUUUUUGCAGCCGCGUGUCAAAAGACUCAAUAUUGAUAUGUCUAACAGUUUUUAUAAGUCUGUCUAACUGUUAUUAUUGUCCCUCUGGAAUCUAACGAACUUGCAACUUUCAUUCAUAUUAUAUUCGAAAUAUCGAUGACAUUAUUCAUUUGGUGCAAUAUAUGGUCCAGGCAACAACUAGAAGGCAGCUCACUCACAGUGGGAGGGGGGCAGAAACAACAGUAAUUGGGAAGCAAUUUAGCCCGGCAGACUAGUGCGUGCCAUUAGAAUUAUAUUUUAAUUCAAUUAUUGUCUUGUGUGAAGUGACUUGACGCAGCACAUAAUUGGGUGCACCAAAAUCUAAUGAGUUAAUUAAGCAUAGCAA
This is a long non-coding RNA of Oryza brachyantha (malo sina), 1943 nucleotides long. RefSeq lists it as uncharacterized. Lineage: Eukaryota; Viridiplantae; Streptophyta; Magnoliopsida; Poales; Poaceae. The transcript has 2 exons. The record is from RefSeq and is a predicted model, not a curated record.